UCAGCACAGAAUUUGCAGGUAGUA
Molecule: non-coding RNA, 24 nt
Filed under: Arabidopsis thaliana (thale cress)
Lineage: Eukaryota; Viridiplantae; Streptophyta; Magnoliopsida; Brassicales; Brassicaceae
Source: RNAcentral